RNAcentral lists this ribosomal RNA (450 nucleotides) under uncultured bacterium. RNAcentral's name for it is "partial 16S ribosomal RNA". It matches the Rfam family "Bacterial small subunit ribosomal RNA", at positions 354 to 796 of the family's 1533-position model. The record is from RNAcentral.
GUGGGGAAUUUUGGACAAUGGGCGAAAGCCUGAUCCAGCCAUGCCGCGUGUGUGAAGAAGGUCUUCGGAUUGUAAAGCACUUUAAGUUGGGAGGAAGGGCAGUAAGUUAAUACCUUGCUGUUUUGACGUUACCGACAGAAUAAGCACCGGCUAACUUCGUGCCAGCAGCCGCGGUAAUACGAAGGGUGCACGCGUUAAUCGGAAUUACUGGGCGUAAAGCGCGCGUAGGUGGUUUUGUAAGUUGGAGGUGAAAUCCCCGGGAUCAACCAUGGAACUGCCUCCAAAACUGCAUGACUAGAGUACGGUAGAGGGUAGUGGAAUUUCCUGUGUAGCGGUGAAAUGCGUAGAUAUAGGAAGGAACACCAGUGGCGAAGGCGACUACCUGGACUGAUACUGACACUGAGGUGCGAAAGCGUGGGGAGCAAACAGGAUUAGAAACCCUUGUAGUCC